Molecule: ribosomal RNA, 361 nt
Filed under: uncultured rumen bacterium
Lineage: Bacteria
Description: bacterial SSU rRNA
Rfam family: Bacterial small subunit ribosomal RNA
Source: RNAcentral
UUGGCUCAGGAUGAACGCUGGCGGCGUGCUUAACACAUGCAAGUCGAACGAGGUAUAAGGACGGAAGUUUUCGGACGGAAGACCUUGUACUGAGUGGCGGACGGGUGAGUAACGCGUGGGAAACCUGCCCUGUACCGGGGGAUAGCAGUUGGAAACGGCUGAUAAUACCGCAUAAGCGCACAGUAAGACAUCUUACAGUGUGAAAAACUCCGGUGGUACAGGAUGGUCCCGCGUCUGAUUAGCUAGUUGGUGAGGUAAAAGCUCACCAAGGCGACGAUCAGUAGCCGGCCUGAGAGGGUGAACGGCCACAUUGGGACUGAGACACGGCCCAGACUCCUACGGGAGGCAGCAGUGGGGAAUA